UGCGUUAGCCAAAUAAAGGACGGGACUGCACCCUUCACAAACCGUAAAAUAGUCAGUCUUAUCAGGACCCCUUUCUUGCACUUUCAUAAAUAAUUCGCAUUAGUUUAAUAUUUAAUUACAAAGAAAAUCCUAUUUUGCCUCUUCCAGUGUAGAGCUCAUACACUGAGGGCAGUGUAAGCUCUCAUACAAUGGAGAAACCUGUAGGUAAAGAUGAGCCGCCUGAUGGCCAUCUUCCUGCAUGGACCCACAUGAUUGAUGGCAGAGUGCAACAGGUAAAGGUGAUAACCAGUAUUCAUUCAUUUUCCAUUCUUCACCGGGACUAAUGUGGCUGCUGACCAUGAGUAUUAUAACAAAGUUGUGGAGAAAUGCCUCCUUCAAAGAGCAAAAAUCCUGACAUCUACCCCUACCGAGGCACUCCUUCACAAGCAGGAGCUGGUUGACAUAAAUUCAUGUUUAGUGGGCAUUCAGGAAUUCAGAUCUAUGAGACGUGCGAUGGAUCAGCAACUGAACAUGUCUAAUAACGCUGUAGGGAAGAAGAGAAGACAGAGGGGAAAAGGCACGUGCUGUCGCUAAGACAGAGGCUCAGGAGUCCACUGAUAAAGCUGAGAGUAUGGAAACCCGUAAACCACCUGAGAAAGAAAUGCUCCAAGGUGUAACCAAAGAUAUGACGCCUCAAACCGAGAGCAACACACCUACAUGUAUCCAAGAACCAAAGAUUAAAGAGAAUGAAAACAAUGUCUGUGCGACUAAAGGAGUUUCUGAGUUCCUUGCAUCAACUGUGGAUGAGGAAGAUGAAGAUAAGAAAUUCGAUGUGUUUGUCCUCUCUACUGAUGUGUCCUCCUCGC
Molecule: long non-coding RNA, 845 nt
Organism: Alosa alosa (allis shad)
Lineage: Eukaryota; Metazoa; Chordata; Actinopteri; Clupeiformes; Clupeidae
Exons: 5
Source: RefSeq, a predicted model, not a curated record